RNAcentral lists this ribosomal RNA (753 nucleotides) under uncultured bacterium. RNAcentral's name for it is "bacterial SSU rRNA". It matches the Rfam family "Bacterial small subunit ribosomal RNA", at positions 9 to 777 of the family's 1533-position model. The record is from RNAcentral.
GAGUUUGAUCAUGGCUCAGGACGAACGCUGGCGGCGUGCCUAAUACAUGCAAGUCGAACGAGAUCCCGGAGCUUGCUCCGGGGGACAGUGGCGAACGGGUGAGUAACACGUGAGAAACCUGCCCUAGAGACCGGGACAACCGUUGGAAACGGCGGCUAAUACCGGAUGCCUUCACACGGUCGCAUGGCCGAGUGAAGAAAUGCUCAGGUGCUCUAGGAGGGUCUCGCGGCCUAUCAGCUAGUUGGUGAGGUAACGGCUCACCAAGGCAUCGACGGGUAGCUGGUCUGAGAGGACGAUCAGCCACACUGGGACUGAGACACGGCCCAGACUCCUACGGGAGGCAGCAGUAGGGAAUCUUGCGCAAUGGGGGCAACCCUGACGCAGCAACGCCGCGUGUGGGAUGACGGCUUUCGGGUUGUAAACCACUUUCAGUGAUGACGAAAAUGACGGUAAUCACAGAAGAAGGUCCGGCCAACUACGUGCCAGCAGCCGCGGUAACACGUAGGGACCGAGCGUUGUCCGGAUUUAUUGGGCGUAAAGAGCUCGUAGGCGGUUCUGUAAGUCGGAUGUGAAAACUCAGGGCUCAACCCUGAGACGCCAUCUGAUACUGCAGUGACUAGAGUCCGGUAGAGGAAGAUGGAAUUCCUGGUGUAGCGGUGGAAUGCGCAGAUAUCAGGAGGAACACCAACGGCGAAGGCAGUCUUCUGGGCCGGUACUGACGCUGAGGAGCGAAAGCAUGGGGAGCAAACAGGA